RNAcentral lists this small RNA (177 nucleotides) under Arabidopsis thaliana (thale cress). RNAcentral describes it as "ATSL224930". Lineage: Eukaryota; Viridiplantae; Streptophyta; Magnoliopsida; Brassicales; Brassicaceae. The record is from RNAcentral.
GGCUGAUGAGCUACUUGAGACGGACCGGCUGACGAGAUGCUUCAGACGGGUGAGAUGACGAGCUGGUUGAGACGGGCGAUCUGACGAGUUGGUCUUUGUCUCUAAGUGUCCUCGCGGAAUCCCCCCCCUUUGACAAGACAUGCUAUUCCGUAUUUAUAGCCUUCUGCGUGUAGGGCA